Long non-coding RNA from Orcinus orca (killer whale), 9942 nucleotides. RefSeq lists it as uncharacterized. NCBI's taxonomy places the organism in Eukaryota, Metazoa, Chordata, Mammalia, Artiodactyla, Delphinidae. The transcript is spliced from 2 exons. The record is from RefSeq and is a predicted model, not a curated record.
UGUUAAUAUGGUGUAUCACACUGAUUGAUUUGCAUAUAUUGAAGAAUCCUUGCAUCCCUGGAUAAAUCCCAUUUGAUCAUGGUGUAUGAUCCUUUUAAUGUGUUGUUGGAUUCUGUUUGCCAGUAUUUUGUUGAGGAUUUUUGCAUCUAUAUUCAUCAGUGAUAUUGGUCUGUAAUUUUCCUUUUUUGUAGUAUCUUUGUCUGGUUUUGGUAUCAGGGUGAUGGUGGCCUCGUAGAAUGAGUUUGGGAGUGUUCCUCCCUCUGUACUUUAUUGGAAGAGUUUGAGAAGGAUGGAUGUUAGCUCUUCUCUUUGUUUGAUAGAAUUCACCUGGGAAGCCAUCUGGUCCUGGACUUUUGCUUGUUGCAAGAUUUUUCUUCACAGUUUCAAUUUCAUUACUUGUGAGUGGUUUGCUCACAGUUUCUGUUUCUUCCUGGUUCAGUCUUGGAAGGUUAUACCUUUCUAAGAAUUUGUCCAUUUCUUCCAGGUUGUCCACUUUAUUGGCAUAGAAUUGCUUGUAGUAGUCUCUUAUAAUGCUUUGUAUUUCUGCGGUGUUCAUUGUAACUUCUCCUCUUUCAUUUCUAAUUUUAUUGAUUUGAGUUAUUUCCCUCUUUUUCUUGAUGAGUCUGGCUAAUGGUUUAUCAAUUUUAUCUUCUCAAAGAACCAGCUUUUAGUUUUAUUGAUCUUUGCUAUUAUUUUCUUUGUUUCUAUUUCAUUUAUUUCUGCUCUGAUCUUUAUGAUUUCUUUCCCUCUGCUAACUUUGGGUUUUGUUUGUUCUUCUUUCUCUAGUUGCUUUAGGUGUAAGCUUAGGUUGUUUAUUUGAGAUUUUUCUUCUUUCUUGAGGUGGGAUUGUACUGCUAUAAACUUCCCUCUUAGAACUGCUUUUGCUGCAUCCCAUAGGUUUUGGAUCGUCGUGUUUUCGUUGUCAUUUGUCUCUAGGUAUUUUUUGAUUUCCUCUUUGAUUUCUUCAGUGAUCUCUUGGUUAUUUAGUAACGUAUUGUUUAGCCUCCAUGUGUUUAUGCUUUUUACGUUUUCUUCCCUGUAAUUGAUUUCUAAUCUUAUAGCGUUGUGGUUGGGAAAGAUGCUUGAUAUGAUUUCAAUUUUCUUAAAUUUACCAAGGCUUGAUUUGUGACCCAAGGGGUGAUCUAUCCUGGAGAACGUUCUGUGUGCACUUGAGAAGAAAGUGUGAUCUGCUGUUCUUGGAUGGAAUUUCCUAUAAAUAUCAAUUAAAUCUAUCUGGUCUGUUGUGUCAUUUAAAGCUUGUGUUUCCUUAUUUUCUAUCUGGAUGAUCUGUCCAUCGGUGUAAGUGAGGUGUUAAAAUCCCCCACUAUUAUUGUGUCACUGUCGAUUUCCUCUUUUAUAGGUGUUAGCAUUUGCCUUACGUAUUGAGGUGCUCCUGUGUUGGGUGCAUAAACAUUUAUAAUUCUUAUAUCUUCUUCUUGGAUUAAUCUCUUGAUCAUAAUAUAGUGUCCUUGUCUCUUGUAACAUUAUUUUAAAGCCUAUUUUAUCUGCUAUGAGUAUUGCUACUCCAGCUUUCUUUUGAUUUCCAUUUGCAUGGAAUAUCUUUUUUCAUCCCCUCACUUUCAGUCUGUAUGUGUCCCUAGGUCUGAAGUGGGUCUCUUGUAGACAGCAUAUAUACAGGUCUUCUUUUUGUAUCCAUUCAGCGAGCCUGUGUCUUUUGGUUGGAGCAUUUAAUCCAUUCACGUUUAAGGUAAUUAUCGAUAUGUAUGUUCCUAUGACCAUUUUCUUAAUUGUUUUGGGUUUGUUUUUGUGGGUCCUUUUCUUCUCUUGUGUUUCCCACUUAGAGAAGUUCCUUUAGCAUUUGUUGUAGAGCUGGUUCGGUGGUGCUGAAUUCUCUUAGCUUUUGUUUGUCUGUAAAGCUUUCAAUUUCUCCAUUGAAUCUGAAUGAGAUCCUUGAGUUAUCUUGGUUGUAGGUUCUUCCCUUUCAUCACUUUAAAUAUAUCAUGCCACUCCCUCCUGGCUUGUAGAGUUUCUGCUGAGAAAUCAGCUGUUAACCUUAUGGGAGUUCCCUUGUAUGUUAUUUGUUGUUUUUCCCUUGUUGGCUUUUAAUAAUUUUUCUUUGUCUUUAAUUUUUCUCAGUUUCAUUACUGUGUGUCUCGGUGUGUUUUUCCUUGGGAUUCUCUAUGCUUCCUGGACUUGGGUGGCUAUUUCCUUUCCCAUGUUAGAGAAGUUGUCGACAAUAAUCUCUUCAAAUAUUUUCUUGGGUCCUUUCUCUCCUUUCUCCUUCUGGGACCCCUAUAAUGUGAAUGUUGGUGCGUCUGAUGUUGUCCCAGAGGUCUCUUAGGCUGUCUUCAUUUCUUUUUAUUCUUUUUUUUUUAUUCUGUUCCACGGCAGUGAAUUCCACCAUUCUGUCUUCCAGGCCACUUAUCCGUUCUUCUGCCUCAGUUAUUCUGCUAUUGAUUCCUUCUAGCGUAUUUUUCAUUUUAGUUAUUGUAUUGUUCAUCUCUGUUUGUUUGUUCUUUAAUUCUUCUAGGUGUUUGUUCUCUAAUUCUUCUAGGUCUUUGUUAAACAUUUUUUGCAUCUUCUCAAUCUUUUCCUCCAUUCUUUUUCUGAGGUCCUGGAUCAUCUUCACUAUCAUUAUUCUGAAUUCUUUCUCUGAAGUUUGCCUAUCUCCACUUCAUUUACUUGUUUUUCUGAGGUUUUACCUUGUUCCUUCACCUGGUACAUAGUCCUCUGUCUUUUCAUUUUGUCUGUCUUUCUAUGAAUGUGGUUUUUGUUCCACAGGCUGCAGGAUUGUAGUUCUUGCUGCUUCUGUCUGUGCUCUGCUGGAUGAGGCUAUCUAAGAGGCUUGUGUAAGCUUCCUGAUGGGAAGGACUGGUGGUGGGUAGAGCUGGGUGUUGCUCCGGUGGGCAGAGUUCAGUAAAACUUUAGUCUGCUUGUUUGCUGAUGGGUGGGGCUUUGUUCCCUCCCUGUUGGUUGUUUGGCUUGAGGUGACCCAGGACUGGAGCCUACCUGGGCUCUUUGGUGGGGCUAAUGACAGACUCUGGGAGGGCUUACACCAAGGAGUACUUCCCGGAACUUCUGCUGCCAGUGUUCUUGUCCCCACGGUGAGCCACAGCCACCCCCCGCCUCUGCAGGAGACCCUCCAACACCAGCAGGUAGGUCUGGUUCAGUCUGCUAUGGGGUCACCGCUCCUUCCCCUGGGUCCCGAUGCGCACACUACUUUGUGUGUGCCCUCCAAGAGUGGAGUCUCUGUUUCCCCAGUCCUGUUGAAGUCCUGCAAUCAAAUCCCGCUAGCCUUCAAAGUCUGAUUCUCUGGGAAUUUCUCCUCCUGUUGUCGGACCCCCAGGUUGGGAAGCCUUGAUGUGGGGCUCAGAACCUUCCCUCCAGUGGGUAGACUUCUGUGCUAUAAUUGUUUUCUGGUUUGUGAGUCACCCACCCAGCAGUUAUGGGAUUUGAUUUUAUUGUGAUUGCACCCCUCCUACCGUCUCAUUGCAGCUUCUCCUUUGUCUUUGGAUGUGGGGUAUCUUUUUUGGUGAGUUCCAGUGUCUUCCUGUUAAUGAUUUUUCAGCAGUUAGUUGUGAUUCUAAGUUGGGAGUGAGUGCAUGUCCAUCUCCUCCUCCAUCUUGAACCAAUCUCCAAAAUUGGAAAGGUGUAGUAGAACUAGCUUUUUUUAAUUGAAUUGUUUUUAUAGUGUCUUCCAGAUUUUCUCGUCAUUGUUUGAACUAGACUACCAGAGGAGUCAUAUUGUUGGCAUUUGCAUUGUCUUCCGAUUAAGAAAUUUUUUGUGAACCCUCUAUGUACACUUUGAAUAGACUUAAACAAGUAUCAUAAAGUUAAACUACUUUAUUUGGCCUCUUUGUUCUGCUGCAGAGAAUUCUGUGAGGUUAGUGCUAGAACAAAUCUUAAAGAUCUUUGAAGUUACUAAAAGAUGCCCAGCCAGGAUUUUCUCAUCACCCAGGCGUUAGGAUUGUUGAGGUGCUAAAUGAGGAUGUCUCCAUUAUGUAUAGCACAUAACUUGCCUGCGUUUUAUCUAACUUCCUCCCUUACAACAUGCUGGGUGGCAGCAGCAGUGGUUGGUGGUGGUAGUAGUUGGUGGUACCACCCGUAUUAUAAAGAUAAGGAAAUGGGCCAGGAUUCCAGGCCUACUGAGUGACUCUCAAGUCUUUUCUCUGUUUGACUCUGCUACUUUUUAGUGCCUUAUGUAUUUAAUGUCUAGAAUAUAGUGUUUAGCAGAAUAGGAAGAGCUGACGUGCUUGAAGACUAGAACUUUGGGGGUAGAGGUCUUAACAUCACACACUUCAGUACCGGCUUCACAAAACCACAGUACCUACAUGUCACAGAACCCCACCAGAUCUAUAAAUUUUGUCUUAAAGGUUAAAUCUGGCCUUCAUUUGGUGCCUUAACUGUCUUCCUGUCUUCCAGUUUGGAAGGAUGAAACAUCACCACAAACAAGCCCAAGGAGGGUAUUUUAUCUUGGAUUUUUCAACCCAAGGAUGAGACUCAACAUAGCUACCACUUUUGUGGGCAGCCUGCUGCAAAAUGACCACUGAGGUAGUGACUGAAACAUGCUUUGGACCCACCCCUAGUCAGUUUACUGUGAUUCUUUUCUAUUACUACUCCUUGCAAUUGGGAGACCCAAGUGGUAGCUGGGCCCGGCGGCAGGGAAUCCUUGUGUGGCAAUAAGUCAAGAUGCCAACAUCCAGCAAUUUUAGCGAUAUAGAUAUGUAGCACUAACUCUACAGCACCCAAAACAAGUUGCAGAGAAAUAUUUGUUGAGCACCUACUACAUGCCAUGAAGUGUUCCAGGAUUAAGGAUACAGCAACAAACAGCACAUCUGGCAUUCACUGUUUUUGUCAUAACCAAGCUUUUUAGAAAUGCACCUAAACUAAGAGGAAAUAGACAUUGAGAUCAAGAGCAUUUCAAUACAGUGCAUUAAUGGUAGACUUAACCACAUUUGAGGUGUGUGAAAGUCUUUUUGAUUCUUGGUUCUCAGUUGUGUCCUCAAAAGGUAGAUAGGGAAUGGAUUGUUGCUGUGUUUUAACAAGUUCACCAACUUCCAUGCACGUCAAUAGCACCAAAUUAGUAAGCUGGUCUACUCUGCUGAUUAUUUAAAUCUACAAUUUAUUUUGUGGUUUGUGACUUUGAUUUUUCAUUUGUAACAUCCAGUAGAUUUUUCUGUUACUUCUAAGUGUAUUUCUCCCCAUGUUUCUGGAUACCAUGCAUUCAACAAACUGAAAGGAAUGAAAUUUAGAAGCCAGAAGACCAGAGUUUUUCUGGCUCUCUCACUUGAACACGUUUGAUUUUGCCAAGACGUUUUCAUGUCUCUAAAUCUAUUUUUCUCUUCCAUAAAAUAAUAUGAAAUCAUCUACAUCACAGGAUUGUUUGGGGAAGAGUGUGAUAAUGUAUUCAAAACACUUUGCACUCUACUGUGCAAAUGUAAGGAAUGAUUUGGUCAACCACAAAUAUGUGCUAUAUACUGUCUUUUGAGUGCUGAAGGCGGGAAUCUGAAUAAGACACAGGAAUAAUGACAAGAAGGACGCAAACAUUUUGGGGCUUUGAGCCAAACCGUAAGUCAUGUGGGGUUUAGCCUAUACGGUAUGUCUAAUGAGGGAGAAAACCAGAAAGAGGCAGAGCAGUUCAUGGAAGACCUUGAAUGCUGUGCAAAGAGCUUGAUGUUCAUUCUACCAGCAAUGGGCAUCACUGAAGGGCUUUCUUGAGCAUUACAUAUCUAAGAAAAAUCAGUGGGAGUUGGUGCCUGGUUGUUUGGAUGUAGAAUAAGUCAACCAUUAAUGUUCUUACUUGUGUAUAAUUCUCAUGCUAAUGUCAGAAUAAGUGACAAUUACAGUGUAGUAAUAGUGACAGCUUUUAAAACUUGGGAAAUGAAAGUGAUAGUGCCUCAAACGAGCUGCCCAGCAGUCAUUGCCAAGCUUGUAAACGAAUGUGGAAGCAUUCAGAGCUGCAGAAUCAGGGUAGACAUGAGUCUCCUAAGUGACCUCUUUUCUCCUGAUCGAGUUAUCCUUUAAUACCUAAUGCCUCUUGCUAAAUGUUUCAAUAGUGCCCUUAUCUCCAAGGACUGAGUCCACACUCCUUGACUUCAGUCUGAUGUUCAAUGUAUCAUUUUAAGAGUUUGGCCUUACUGCAUCUGCCUUACCAGCCUGCCUCUCCUUGGUCCCCUCUACAAAUAAAUCAUCCCAUCCAGGUGGACUUAACUCCAGUCACUCAGUGAUCCAUGCUCACCUUCGAAGGAACUUCUCUCUCUCCUCCCUUCAGUCAACAUCCAGAACCUACUUCAGGGUUCCAGUUUCUGACCUUAACUAUACCCGCCCCCUCAACCCUCAACUCUUCCUCUCCAGUUGUAUGUGCUUUUCCCGUCAUACUUGGAUUAUGCCACUACUAUGACACUGCUGUUGUGUUCAUCUAUCAGCUCUACUAAUAAGCCAGACUCUAGCUUAUCAGUGCAAUUGGCUCAUGUAUAUAUAUACAGGAGAGAGUAAAUAAAGCAUUUCAUGGAAUUUGUAGAGCCAGUUAAGGGCUUAGAAGCCAGCCAAUCCAACUAUGUCAUUAUACGAAUAAGGAAACUGAGGGAAAGAAACACGAAGCCAAUAACCCAGGUGUCACAGCUAGUGGCAGAGCCUUGACUGAAAUGGAGGUCUCUGGAUUCCCAGCUCCCUCAACACUGCCCUUGUCUUCCUAUUGUAACUAUUAUUUUCUCUUUGGAGUAAGUCCUAAUUACAAAUUUAUUGUGUCAGUCAUUCAACAACACGGAGGACCGUUAAUUUUAAGGUACUGUACUAGGUUACAAGAAAAGACAUGGUACCUGUCUUCAAGAGACCUUGGCCUGGAGGAAAAUGUGGGCAAGAUGUACCACUGAAAUAUGGAAACAAAAAAUUUCAACUUUUAUUUGUUUUAUCUUUAUCAUUUUAGUUUUGUUUUUUCUGAUGGAGUGCUCAAGGUUGUUCAAGGUUUGGAUUCUACUGGCCUGGGUAGGCACUGUCCUAAAAGCAAGUUAAAAAUGGGCCUUUCCUCAAGAGCUUUCCAUUUAAAGUUGUUAAAUUAUCCAGGCUAUACCAGCAAGCCAGCUUCAAGCUUUGGCUGCUUACCAAGGGUUGUGCAGUGUGGGUGAGAUCAUCCGGAUCUGAAGGAACCAUGGCCAGAGGUGAGUGGGCUGCUCACACACACCUGAGUCUACUUUCCUAUUAAAAGCAAUAAAGGUUUAAAAAUGUGGUAAGUUGUUCACAGGCCAUACCCUAGAUCAAGAGACUGAGGUAGAAAAUGCACCAAAACUUAGUGGGUUUUGACCAUUUAGAGCCCUGAGGCUAUAGCCCUAGUCCACACGGUGAAAUGGGCAGGGAGGUAGGGGCACCAGUGUUUAUCUCCCUUGUGAACUAAGGGCUAGGAGAGAGCUGCAGAAUGAGGUUCUUCCAUCACACAUCAUUUAGGGCUAAUAAUACUCUGGAUUUGCUUGACUGUGUCCACUGCUUUUAACAUACAAUCCCAGCUGAUUUUGCUGUGGAGACUGAGACAGAGCUCCCUUCACUGUCCCCUCCCUCCACUUCACCCACUAAACGCCGUUUACCAUUUCAAAUUUCAAGUGACAGGAAAGCAAAGGAGUUCCAUAAUCAACACAGGCUAGUGACUGCAGUCCUUUUCUUUUGGAUUACUUCCUGAUACUUUCUUGCCAAGACACACAAGGUGCCUGUGUGCUUUAUGUUAGUAAAUGGCACAGGGCCCUACUGCCUUUAGGCUCUCUGCCCUCUGGCUUCAGAACUGACCAGUCGAAUGGUCUGUGGAAUCAGCUUCUUGCCUCUGAGUGACCCUGCUCCAGGGCCGCAAUCCUGGGAAGUUAAGGUAUCAGUACAAAGCAGUCAAACUUUGCGGCUAUAGGGUGGGUGAGGUGAGGGUACUGAGCAGGGAAUGGUAUAUACACGAACCUCUUUAAAGGUAGACUUUUUUCCCCUUUGGUCCCCCACUGUCUCAUUUGGGAGAGAGACCAGAGACCAAGGGGUAGGAAAGUGAGGGGAAAAAGUGGCUAAAAAUGUCCUUUUCUGGGGCAGUCAUUCCAUUCUUUGAAAAUGCAGAUAAUUUGGUGUUUUGCCAAGCGGGGGGGGGGGCAGGAGGGGAGACACAGACCCAAAUAACAUACCUUCUAGUUGGUUAUAUCUCUCUAGGAUUAAUUCUGUCUUAUUAAGCAGCUAUUAAGCAGCACUUGGCCUCUCCGUGGGUGUCUGCUGUGUGCUUCUGAAUAAAAACUUUCUAAUACCAUUUAUUCACAGUAACACCAGGCACUUCACACUGAAACCCAGCACCGUUAGAGCAGCAACAGCAAUACUAGAAAGAAAUGUGGAAGUCCCAGCCCCACCCAAGACCAAGGGAAUCAGGAGCCCAGACCCUUCAAUGUGAGAUGUUCUCUUUGGAUUUAAUUCUCCAUACUCUCCAAAGAUGAGGAAAAAUCCUGUGCUGCCACAUGCAUCUCACUGCUCAUCAAAUCACCUGAGCAGUAAGGGGACGAAACUUUCCCAUCUCCUGUCCAGCUUGCCCCACUCUCGAGAGGGCCGACCAGACAAGUGAUCACAUGCCAUUUUGGGAGAAAAAUUCAAAAUGAUUCUCAAGUAUCUGGGCUUAGUUCUUAGUGGCUCAUACAUACCUGUUCACGUCUCUAACUAUGGCAGAAGUAUAGUCAAAAAUCACCAGAAUUUGGGAUUUUAAAGAGGCCAGCCUCAGCUAUAUAAGCUGUACUGUCAGUUGAUACAGCUUAUGUACAUACCUGCAAUGGCCAUUUGGUUUUGGCUGCCCAACCUUUAUGGCCUCUUCCUCUCAACUGUCAUACCCCCAAUAUCCAAAAGUAGUCCAUGAUGAUAAAUCUGAACUACUCAAGUAUAAGGAAGAUAGUUUUAAUAUAUAUAUAACCCUGGCCUGCUGUUCUGUUGUAGAGUGGGAGAAGACAAUGGGAACGAUAAAUGGGUUUUGGGGCACCUAGUGUGAAUUACAGGGUACCACUCUGGCCAGACUUUAAAGCUUCCAGGUCUCAGGCAGGCCUAUGGUUAAUCCAAACAAAAAAGGUUACUGAUUACACUUAUCAGUAUUAACCUCCUUUUCAUAAUUUACUGGAACUGGGGGAAAAAGUAUAACAAAAUGUAUACAAUUUAGUAACUGUACAAAACAUUAGUUUAGCAAGAUAUUGGUUACAGUCACCAAAAUGAAGACUCAAAAUAUUUCUCACUGCCACUUCCAUGAAAAAUUCAGAUAAAAAGUCACUGGAUGAAAAGUCACAACAGAAGCAAUUUAAACUUUACAUAAAACAGAAAUUGUCAAUCUUCCCCAACAAUGCAGACACAAUCACUCAGAGGCUCUCUGUACUGCCACGGCAUUACUGGAAUGUUUCUCAGAGUCCAUCUUCUACAUGAGCCAUCAGCUUUCCAAGACCAACACUUGAAGCAUUAGAUGUAAUACAAAAUAAGGAGUUCUUUAUUAUUUAUACAAAAGUUGUACAUUAAAAAAAAAAAAUUAAGAUUCAACAACUCUGCUGACCCCCUGAGGAAGAUUUUAUGGGUCCAUCAAAGAGCCCUGUGUGGAUGUUUCAGUCACCAACCUCCUGGCCACAGGACAAGGGACACUCCCUCCACGGCCAUUCACACAGCACCUUCACUGGCUCUGAAAGCUGACCUUCCCCUUCAUUAGGCUCAACAAGCAAGCCAGGCUUUCCUGGACAACAUUAAAGAACACUGCCUUCUCUGGCCCAAGCUUAGAAUGUUUUACCAGUAUAUCGGGUGAUUUUUGUUUAUUUCUUGAACGCUUUCAAUAAACUCCUAGCACAAGAAGCUUUAUUACAACAUAUACAAAUUUGGUACAGUUCUUUACAAAAAACUACCUAGAUUUUUCAGCUAAAUAAAUUUAAGUGUCUUUUAAGAAAUUAAACUUGGCUUCAAGAAAUGGUAAUUUUCUUCCAAACUUGUGUUUUCUACCCCCUGAGUUCUAAGAGA